UACAGAGGGUGCGAGCGUUGUCCGGAAUCACUGGGCGUAAAGGGCGCGUAGGUGGCGGGAUAAGCGUGUGGUGAAAGCCCGGGGCUCAACCCCGUGUCUGCCAUGCGGACUGUCUUGCUCGAGCGUAGUAGAGGCAGGUGGAAUUCCGGGUGUAGCGGUGGAAUGCGUAGAGAUCCGGAAGAACACCGGUGGCGAAGGCGGCCUGCUGGGCUACUGCUGACACUGAGGCGCGACAGCGUGGGGAG
This 245-nucleotide ribosomal RNA is filed under the name uncultured Gemmatimonas sp. Its description in RNAcentral is "partial 16S ribosomal RNA". It matches the Rfam family "Bacterial small subunit ribosomal RNA", at positions 524 to 768 of the family's 1533-position model. Lineage: Bacteria; Pseudomonadati; Gemmatimonadota; Gemmatimonadia; Gemmatimonadales; Gemmatimonadaceae. The record is from RNAcentral.